CUGCCCGCCAACAGCAGCAGACUCUUAAAGCGUGGAUGCACCCAUUUAAAGGCGGAGAUUUGGUCCCACUCGCACUCGGCGGUUUACCUUUCCUUUUUUUUAAAUUUGAGGAUGUUGUGAAUUAACCGCUGAUUUUUUUUUUGGGGGGUGGGGGAGUGAUUUAAUUGUUGGAAAUGACGAAAUUGCAGAAGCCGGUGAAAACAAACAUCUUCCAUUUUAGACAAUGUUUGCAAGUGUAUAGGGUCUGUUCGUGAAGGUGAUCUUUUGCAAAAGCCCGUUUAUGAAAAUAAUUGAUCUCAAUUAAGUGUCUAUUAGUUCAGGCAAAGGAAAAUUGAUGCCAAUAGAAGUAUCAUCAAUGAAAUAAACGCACAAAGAAACAUUUAGAUCCUUUCAACCAGACCUAAAAUAAAUAGAGAGGAUUAGAAAUGAAAUGAAAAAUUACAUAAGCCGGAAGGUUGGUUUCACGAGUUGUCUGAACCUGUAUUUUAUGUACUCUUGAUUUUUGUGUUGCUGGUUUCAGAUUACAAACCAGACAAAGGAUUAAUAAGAGGGGACACUUGUCCUUUAGACACCCAGCCUUCCAAAACAGUUCAAAGCCAAACUGAAAUGAAAUAUACGCAUAAACGUGUAAGUAUCUUCAAUAAAAUAAAAUAUAUAGAUGACAGCCUUUUUACAUCUUGUUUUAACCCCCUAGGAUAAGACUUUAUGGCACUUUCUUUAAACGAUAGACCAUUUCAUACAGGAUAUAUGGAUCGACUAGCAGUUGUUUGUUUCCAAUGAUUAUUUCUGAAAUAUGGUCUUCCCAUGACUCAAUUGUUUUCUGACCCAAUCUACAUACAUUGUAAGUGACUGUAGCAUUUGAGAUGCCUCAUAUCGUGCAGCAAUACAUUUAUAUCAGUGUUAAUUAUAUAAUCCUUACCACAAUGUCCAUUUCCUGUAAAUAGAUGUUGAUUAUUGCUCGCUAACACUACAUCGCAUGUAUCCAUAUUUAGCCACCACCAGGUUCAAGGUCUAUGCAUCAUAUUCACCAUGAUUAACUUCUUAAACGGCAACCUUUAAGAUUAUCACCAUGUGGUAUUAAAAACCCAACAUAUAUCAUGUGUUUAGUCAAAAAGUACAUGUCAAUAGGAGCAGUGGAAUUCAUAUGUCUAUGUGACUCAGUGGCAGAAAUGGGUGAAUGAAUCAACAGCCGUAAGAAGAAAUGUAGAAAUAAACAAUAUUACAGCUCAAAGUAAAAUUAUUAAAAUUGGGAAGGAUUUAAUUAAUUUAAGGUGCUUUUAUCAAUGUGAAAUAAUUUGAUCUACUGAGAUGAACUGUUGAUCAACCACAUGGUGGGCUAAUAAGUAUCUUCUUGAAAAUUAUCUUAUGAUAGGAUUAAAUACAUUGCUCUCCAGGUUCCUUACAUUGAGGGAAUGGUUUGAAGUGGCACCUUUUAGUACAAGUAAAGCUGAAC
Molecule: long non-coding RNA, 1453 nt
Organism: Amblyraja radiata (thorny skate)
Lineage: Eukaryota; Metazoa; Chordata; Chondrichthyes; Rajiformes; Rajidae
Exons: 3
Source: RefSeq, a predicted model, not a curated record